This 343-nucleotide unclassified non-coding RNA is filed under the name Hevea brasiliensis (rubber tree). Lineage: Eukaryota; Viridiplantae; Streptophyta; Magnoliopsida; Malpighiales; Euphorbiaceae. The record is from RNAcentral.
AUAAAUCCCAUGCUAAAACUAGCCAAACUACUCCACUACAAAGGCUUCCAUAUUACCUUCGUUAACACCGAGUACAACCACAAUCGCCUCCUCAAGUCUCGAGGCCCUGACUCUCUCGAUGGCCUCCCUUCCUUCCAAUUUCGCACCAUCCCCGAUGGCCUCCCUCCAACCGACACUGAUGCCACCCAGGACAUACCAUCCUUGUGCCAGUCUACCAGGAAAACCUGCUUGGCUCCCUUUAGAGACCUCCUUUCUAAGCUCAAUGACACCUCUUCAUCAAACGUUCCUCCUGUAACUUGCAUAGUUUCAGAUGGGGUCAUGAGCUUCACUCUUGAUGCAGCAC